CACAGGACCAGAUAGGCAACAAGAGAACUAGAGUGGGGAACUAAGGGCGUAGCCAUCAGUAUUGGCGUUCGUUACAUACCUAAAAGAAGAAAGGCGAAGCUUCUGAGACUCUUGGUUGAGGAGAAUAAUUCUGGAAGAAAUGAUGGCUCUGUUUGAAUGUUCCUCUGGGAUCUCGUGACCUUUCCUAGAUCAACUACCAUUGUCUCCUGAGUGGUUCAAGACCAAGAAAUGCCCUCUUGUCACUGUCUCAUAGCCUGUAACGAGUCUCAGUUUAUCUUGUUUCUUGCUAAUAUCUCAAGUGCCUAGGUGACCCCUAGGUAAGAGGAGAGAUCUGGAAACUUCAGAAAACACAACCUCCUGGUAAUCUGCUUAGCGGCAUUUGGAACUGCUCAGUGAUCCAUGAAUGUCAAGGCGAGCCUCCCAUAUCCUCAUCCCGGCUCCACGUAAAACCUCUUUAUCUCAGACACUUUCCAUUACCCGAGUCAUCUGCAGUCAGUCAGAAGUGGUGAAGCCUUCUGAGAACUCCAAAUGGAGAGAAAUGGUCUAAUUAAAACGAACUCACUUGGAGGAAGAAGGGCUCUGUGCCGGAAACUGGACUGUCGACACUCGGAGUAUUAGAAAAGAGCAUCUUAGAUCAUUUUCUGAGUCCAAGAAAGACAUGCUAAGGAUAAUUUCUUCUCUAAGUCACAUUUGUAAAACCCAAGUGUUCUCCUUUU
Molecule: long non-coding RNA, 716 nt
Filed under: Mus pahari (shrew mouse)
Lineage: Eukaryota; Metazoa; Chordata; Mammalia; Rodentia; Muridae
Description: predicted gene 20617 (MGP_PahariEiJ_G0004961.1)
Source: RNAcentral